ACGGAAAGGCCCUGCUUUUGUGGGGUGCUCGAGUGGCGAACGGGUGAGUAACACGUGAGUAACCUGCCCUUGACUUUGGGAUAACUUCAGGAAACUGGGGCUAAUACCGGAUAGGAGCUCCUGCUGCAUGGUGGGGGUUGGAAAGUUUCGGCGGUUGGGGAUGGACUCGCGGCUUAUCAGCUUGUUGGUGGGGUAGUGGCUUACCAAGGCUUUGACGGGUAGCCGGCCUGAGAGGGUGACCGGCCACAUUGGGACUGAGAUACGGCCCAGACUCCUACGGGAGGCAGCAGUGGGGAAUAUUGCACAAUGGGCGGAAGCCUGAUGCAGCAACGCCGCGUGCGGGAUGACGGCCUUCGGGUUGUAAACCGCUUUCGCCUGUGACGAAGCGUGAGUGACGGUAAUGGGUAAAGAAGCACCGGCUAACUACGUGCCAGCAGCCGCGGUGAUACGUAGGGUGCGAGCGUUGUCCGGAUUUAUUGGGCGUAAAGGGCUCGUAGGUGGUUGAUCGCGUCGGAAGUGUAAUCUUGGGGCUUAACCCUGAGCGUGCUUUCGAUACGGGUUGACUUGAGGAAGGUAGGGGAGAAUGGAAUUCCUGGUGGAGCGGUGGAAUGCGCAGAUAUCAGGAGGAACACCAGUGGCGAAGGCGGUUCUCUGGGCCUUUCCUGACGCUGAGGAGCGAAAGCGUGGGGAGCGAACAGGCUUAGAUACCCUGGUAGUCCACGCUGUA
This 727-nucleotide ribosomal RNA is filed under the name uncultured Actinomycetes bacterium. RNAcentral's name for it is "bacterial SSU rRNA". It matches the Rfam family "Bacterial small subunit ribosomal RNA", at positions 66 to 804 of the family's 1533-position model. The record is from RNAcentral. Lineage: Bacteria; Bacillati; Actinomycetota; Actinomycetes.